UGCCGCAUAAGCGCACAGUGUCGCAUGACACGGUGUGAAAAACUCCGGUGGUAUGAGAUGGUCCCGCGUCUGAUUAGGCAGUUGGCGGGGUAACGGCCCACCAAACCGACGAUCAGUAGCCGACCUGAGAGGGUGACCGGCCACAUUGGGACUGAGACACGGCCCAAACUCCUACGGGAGGCAGCAGUGGGGAAUAUUGCACAAUGGGGGAAACCCUGAUGCAGCGACGCCGCGUGGGUGACGAAGUAUUUCGGUAUGUAAAGCCCUAUCAGCAGGGAAGAAGAUGACAGUACCUGACUAAGAAGCCCCGGCUAACUACGUGCCAGCAGCCGCGGUAAUACGUAGGGGGCAAGCGUUAUCCGGAUUUACUGGGUGUAAAGGGAGCGUAGGUGGCAUGGCAAGCCAGAAGUGAAAACCCGGGGCUUAACCCCGGGAUUGCUUUUGGAACUGUCAGGCUGGAGUGCAGGAGGGGCAGGCGGAAUUCCUGGUGUAGCGGUGAAAUGCGUAGAUAUCAGGAGGAACACCGGUGGCGAAGGCGGCCUGCUGGACUGUAACUGACACUGAGGCUCGAAAGCGUGGGGAGCAAACAGGAUUAGAUACCCUGGUAGUCCACGCUGUAAACGAC
This 625-nucleotide ribosomal RNA is filed under the name uncultured bacterium. RNAcentral's name for it is "bacterial SSU rRNA". It matches the Rfam family "Bacterial small subunit ribosomal RNA", at positions 167 to 810 of the family's 1533-position model. The record is from RNAcentral.